CUGGGGUUGUGGCUCAGUAGUAGAGCACUUACCUAGCAUGUGUGAGGCACUGGGUUCAAAUCUCAGACUGCAUA
RNAcentral lists this transfer RNA (74 nucleotides) under Marmota monax (woodchuck). RNAcentral describes it as "tRNA.Ala". Lineage: Eukaryota; Metazoa; Chordata; Mammalia; Rodentia; Sciuridae. The record is from RNAcentral.